Molecule: ribosomal RNA, 468 nt
Filed under: uncultured bacterium
Lineage: Bacteria
Description: partial 16S ribosomal RNA
Rfam family: Bacterial small subunit ribosomal RNA
Source: RNAcentral
GACGAACGCUGGCGGCGUGCUUAACACAUGCAAGUCGAACGGAAAGACGCGGCGUUUGUGGGGUGCUCGAGUGGCGAAGGGGUGAGUGACACGUGAGUAUCCUGCCCUUGACUGUGGGAGAACUUCAGGAAACUGGGGCGAAAACAGGAGAGGAUCUCCUGAUGCGUGGGGGGGGAUGGAAAGAGUCGGCGGUGGGGGAUGGACUGGAGGCUUAUCAGCUGGAUGGGGUGGUAGUGGUUGACCAAGGGUUUGACGGGUAGCCGACCUGGGAGGGUGAACGGCGUCCAUGGGCCUGCGAUACGGCGCAGUCUCCUAUGGGACGCAGCAGGGGGGAACAUUGCACAAUGGGCCGAAGCGUGUUGCGGCAACCCCGCGUGCGGGAUGACGUCUUUCGGGUGGUAAACCGCUUUCGCCUGUGACGAAGCGUGAGUGACGGUAAUGGGUCAAGAAGCACCGGCUAACUACGUG